RNAcentral lists this ribosomal RNA (433 nucleotides) under uncultured bacterium. RNAcentral's name for it is "partial 16S ribosomal RNA". It matches the Rfam family "Bacterial small subunit ribosomal RNA", at positions 29 to 507 of the family's 1533-position model. The record is from RNAcentral.
AACGAACGCUGGCGGCAUGCCUAACACAUGCAAGUCGAACGAGACCUUCGGGUCUAGUGGCGCACGGGUGCGUAACGCGUGGGAACCUGCCCUUAGGUUCGGAAUAACUCCCCGAAAGGGGUGCUAAUACCGGAUAAUGUCUUCGGACCAAAGAUUUAUCGCCUUUGGAUGGGCCCGCGUUGGAUUAGCUAGUUGGUAGGGUAAAAGCCUACCAAGGCGACGAUCCAUAGCUGGUCUGAGAGGAUGAUCAGCCACACUGGGACUGAGACACGGCCGAGACUCCUACGGGAGGCAGGAGUGGGGAAUAUUGGACAAUGGGCGAAGGCCUGAUCCAGCACUGCCGCGUGAGUGAUGAAGGCCUUAGGGUUGUAAAGCUCUUUUACCCGGGAUGAUAAUGACAGUACCGGGAGAAUAAGCUCCGGCUAACUCCGUG